Molecule: ribosomal RNA, 255 nt
Filed under: uncultured bacterium
Lineage: Bacteria
Description: partial 16S ribosomal RNA
Rfam family: Bacterial small subunit ribosomal RNA
Source: RNAcentral
UACGUAGGCAGCAAGCGUUGUUCGGAGUUACUGGGCGUAAAGAGUCUGUAGGCGGUGCUCUAAAGUUUGGUGUGAAAUCUCCCCGCUUAACCGGGAGGGUGCGCCGAAGACUGGGGGUGCUGGAGUCUGGGAGAGGAAAGCGGAAUUCCUGGUGUAGCGGUGAAAUGCGUAGAUAUCAGGAGGAACACCGGUGGUGUAGACGGCUUUCUGGACCAGUACUGACGCUGAGAGACGAAAGCGUGGGGAGCAAACAGG